Molecule: long non-coding RNA, 408 nt
Organism: Prionailurus viverrinus (fishing cat)
Lineage: Eukaryota; Metazoa; Chordata; Mammalia; Carnivora; Felidae
Exons: 3
Source: RefSeq, a predicted model, not a curated record
GAGGUGAUGUGGGACCACUGGCCAAGGAAUGAAAACAGCCUCUAGAAGCGAAAAAAAAGACAGUUCCCCCGGAACCUCCCCACACUUUGACUUUAGCUCACUGAUUCUGACUUUGGACUUCCAAGAUCACGAAAUCUCCUGAGAACCUCUACUUUACGUCUUGUUUCUAUGAAUUUGCCCAUUCAAGAUAUUCCAUCUGUUUCCAUAGGCAGAUAAGUUGGAGAAGAAAGUCUAUUUUGCAUUGAAAGAGAAUGCAGCCUGGAGGGUAAGGAUCGUAGCCCUGAAGAUGGACUAUCCAGGGGACAAAUCUGGCUCUACCAUUUACUAGCCAUGUGACGUCAACAUUUCUGUGCCUUGGGUUCCCCAUCAAUAAAAGGCUAAUAGUAGUACCCAUCUCAUAGGCCGAUG